RNAcentral lists this ribosomal RNA (253 nucleotides) under uncultured bacterium. RNAcentral's name for it is "partial 16S ribosomal RNA". It matches the Rfam family "Bacterial small subunit ribosomal RNA", at positions 524 to 776 of the family's 1533-position model. The record is from RNAcentral.
UACGUAGGGGGCAAGCGUUGUCCGGAAUCAUUGGGCGUAAAGCGCGUGUAGGCGGUCCGGUAAGUCCGCUGUGAAAGUCGGGGGCUCAACCCUCGGAUGCCGGUGGAUACUGUCGGGCUUGAGUACGGAAGAGGCGAGUGGAAUUCCUGGUGUAGCGGUGAAAUGCGCAGAUAUCAGGAGGAACACCAAUUGCGAAGGCAGCUCGCUGGGACGUUACUGACGCUGAGGCGCGAAAGCGUGGGGAGCGAACAGG